UCCGAUUAGCCAUGCUAGUCGCACGAGUUCAGACUCGUGGCGAAUAGCUCAGUAACACGUGGCCAAACUACCCUUCGGAACACAAUACCCUCGGGAAACUGAGGCUAAUAGUGUAUACCAUACCACCACUGGAAUGAGUGGUAUGCCAAACGCUCCGGCGCCGAAGGAUGUGGCUGCGGCCGAUUAGGUAGACGGUGGGGUAACGGCCCACCGUGCCAAUAAUCGGUAUGGGUCAUGAGAGUGAGAACCCAGAGACGGAAUCUGAGACAAGAUUCCGGGCCCUACGGGGCGCAGCAGGCGCGAAACCUUUACACUGCACGACAGUGCGAUAGGGGGAUCCCAAGUGCACAGGCAUAGCGCCUGUGCUUUUCGGUACCCUAAGGCGGUACCAGAAUAAGGGCUGGGCAAGACCGGUGCCAGCCGCCGCGGUAAUACCGGCAGCCCAAGUGAUGGCCGAUCUUAUUGGGCCUAAAGCGUCCGUAGCUGGCCGCGCAAGUCCAUCGGGAAAUCCACCUGCUCAACAGGUGGGCGCCCGGUAGAAACUGCGUGGCUUGGGACCGGAAGGCGCGACGGGUACGUCC
This 581-nucleotide ribosomal RNA is filed under the name Halorubrum ezzemoulense. RNAcentral's name for it is "bacterial SSU rRNA". It matches the Rfam family "Archaeal small subunit ribosomal RNA", at positions 39 to 622 of the family's 1478-position model. The record is from RNAcentral. Lineage: Archaea; Methanobacteriati; Methanobacteriota; Halobacteria; Halobacteriales; Haloferacaceae.